RNAcentral lists this ribosomal RNA (490 nucleotides) under uncultured bacterium. Its description in RNAcentral is "bacterial SSU rRNA". It matches the Rfam family "Bacterial small subunit ribosomal RNA", at positions 21 to 507 of the family's 1533-position model. The record is from RNAcentral.
GGCUCAGGAUGAACGCUAGCGGCAGGCUUAAUACAUGCAAGUCGUGGGCAGCAUGAGUAGCUAUACUUGAUGGCGACCGGCAAACGGGUGAGGAACACGUACACAACCUUCCUUCAAGCGGGGAAUAGCCCAGAGAAAUUUGGAUUAAUACCCAUAAUAUAUUUGAUAAGGCAUCUUAUUAAUAUUAAAGCUUCGGCACUUGAUGAUGGGUGUGCGGCUGAUUAGAUAGUUGGCGGGGUAACGGCCCACCAAGUCUACGAUCAGUAGCUGAUGUGAGAGCAUGAUCAGCCACACGGGCACUGAGACACGGGCCCGACUCCUACGGGAGGCAGCAGUAAGGAAUAUUGGACAAUGGACGAAAGUCUGAUCCAGCCAUGCCGCGUGAAGGAUUAAGGUCCUCUGGAUUGUAAACUUCUUUUAUAUGGGACGAAAAAAGGGCAUUCUUGUUCACUUGACGGUACCAUAUGAAUAAGCACCGGCUAACUCCGUG